Molecule: ribosomal RNA, 199 nt
Filed under: uncultured bacterium
Lineage: Bacteria
Description: partial 16S ribosomal RNA
Rfam family: Bacterial small subunit ribosomal RNA
Source: RNAcentral
UAGGCUGCAACUCGCCUACACGAAGUUGGAAUUGCUAGUAAUCGUGGAUCAGCAUGCCACGGUGAAUACGUUCCCGGGUCUUGUACACACCGCCCGUCACACCAUGGGAGCUGGUAACACCCGAAGUCAGUAGUCUAACCGCAAGGAGGACGCUGCCGAAGGUGGGAUUAGCGACUGGGUGAAGUCGUAACAAGGUAAC